RNAcentral lists this ribosomal RNA (393 nucleotides) under uncultured bacterium. RNAcentral describes it as "partial 16S ribosomal RNA". It matches the Rfam family "Bacterial small subunit ribosomal RNA", at positions 523 to 918 of the family's 1533-position model. The record is from RNAcentral.
AUACGGAAGGUCCGGGCGUUACCCGGAUUUAUUGGGUUUAAAGGGAGCGCAGGCGGAGAUGCAAGCGUGACGUCAAAUUUCGGGGCUCAACCCCGUCUCGCGUCGCGAACUGCGUCCCUUGGUUGCGGGAAGGGGAGGCGGAACUCGUGGUUUAGCGGCGAAAUGCAUAGAUAUCACGAAGAACUCCGAUCGCGAAGGCAGCCUUCCGGCCCGUCAACGACGCUCAUGUUCGAAGGUGCGGGUAUCAAACAGGAUUAGAUACCCUGGUAGUCCGCACAGUAAACGAUGGACACCCGCGGUUUGGCCUAUAUGGCUGAGCCGCCAAGCGAAAGCGUUAAGUGUCCCACCUGGGGAGUACGCCGGCAACGGUGAAACUCAAAGGAAUUGACGGGG